Solanum dulcamara is the source of this 1145-nucleotide long non-coding RNA. RefSeq lists it as uncharacterized. NCBI's taxonomy places the organism in Eukaryota, Viridiplantae, Streptophyta, Magnoliopsida, Solanales, Solanaceae. The transcript is spliced from 6 exons. The record is from RefSeq and is a predicted model, not a curated record.
GAGGAGCCAAAAACACUAAGAAAAAAUAAGAGAGAGUUCGGCCAAGGCAAGGAAAACAUAACUUCUUGAAAUUUCAUCCCAAAAAUUACUUUCUCUUAGUAUUCCUACUAUAUCAAGGGUCCUUUAUAACAUGGUAAACUUAUUUUGGAAGAUAGAAGGCUUGUUUGGUUGAUUUGAAGCUUUGGUAAAGUGAAGAAGUUGGAAGGAAAAGAUUUUGGAGGAAACGGGAAUUGAACUUGGACAACCGUAAAAGGCCAAAAAGGUACCGAAGUUCGAUUUGCUGAUCCAUCUGUUUAGGAUAUUUGCUGCGUCGUUGACAGUGCUCCCUUGUUCGGAGCUUGUAUUUUGGUACUGACUUUAUCUCUGUAUAUUUGGAUAUUUUGGUCAGGGGUACGACGGGGCCCUGUCCCGUCAUAUGACUAUGCUAUCAUCUGUAGAGGUCUGUAGACAGAUUUAUGUUGUGGGUUUUGUAUAUAUAGUUUGGGUUUUGUGUGUUUUGUGAUGGCUUAUCAGCCCUCGUGCCUACAUCUAUUUUUUUGAUCUAUUUAAAAAUUCUUAUAAUCACUACCUAUAUUUAUUUGGUUAAAAUGGCUAAUUUGGGAUUAGGGUACGUUUGGGUGCCCAACUCGGGCACCAAUCGCGGCCUACGGGGUUGGAUCGUGACAGAGAUGAACCUUCAUUCUAAGAAAUAUCCUUUUUUCAGAGAAUCAACUGAAUUGGAUCAUCCUACAGUGAGAUAUGAUUUUUCUUCUACAAACACUCUAUUUCAUCACAGCACCAGGUUAAAGGAGUUCAUCGCCCUCAAAUUCGUCGUCUCAAUCGCUGCCCGAAAAUAGCUGAUACGCAGAUGUAAAGGAGGUUUACUAUAGGUUCCGGAGGAAGAAAAUAGGCUGAUAUACAAUCUAUAUACAGGAGAUACAGAAAAAGGGUGACUGUAUAUAUUGAUAUAUAUUUAUACAUAAUCAUGAUAUACAGAAACGAAAUGGGCCAAAGGCCCAAAAUACAGGUGGCCCAAUAUCUUAGUCCAGGUGUACAGAAACUAAGUAUUGGGCCAGAUUUUUGUUUUGUUUAUAUUGUUAUUCUAUUUAUUUGGGUUGUAAUAAUUUAAUUUAUUUAUGGUUGUGUAUACUUGCUUAGAUAUUAAU